AACGAACGCUGGCGGCAUGCCUAACACAUGCAAGUCGAACGAUGGUCUUCGGAUCAUAGUGGCGCACGGGUGCGUAACGCGUGGGAAUCUGCCCUUGGGUUCGGAAUAACAGUUGGAAACGACUGCUAAUACCGGAUGAUGUCGAUAAGACCAAAGAUUUAUCGCCCGAGGAUGAGCCCGCGUCGGAUUAGCUAGUUGGUGGGGUAAAGGCCUACCAAGGCGACGAUCCGUAGCUGGUCUGAGAGGAUGAUCAGCCACACUGGGACUGAGACACGGCCCAGACUUCCUCCGGAGGCAGCCAUGGGGAAUUUUUGACAAUUGGCCCAAGCCUGAUCCAGCAAUGCCGCGUGAGUGAUGAAGGCCUUAGGGUUGUAAAGCUCUUUUACCCGGGAAGAUAAUGACUGUACCGGGAGAAUAAGCCCCGGCUAACUCCGUG
This 436-nucleotide ribosomal RNA is filed under the name uncultured bacterium. RNAcentral describes it as "partial 16S ribosomal RNA". It matches the Rfam family "Bacterial small subunit ribosomal RNA", at positions 29 to 507 of the family's 1533-position model. The record is from RNAcentral.